This 72-nucleotide transfer RNA is filed under the name Camelus bactrianus (Bactrian camel). It matches the Rfam family "tRNA". From Rfam's summary of the family: Transfer RNA (tRNA) molecules are approximately 80 nucleotides in length. Their secondary structure includes four short double-helical elements and three loops (D, anti-codon, and T loops). RNAcentral also lists the same sequence under 2 other names. Lineage: Eukaryota; Metazoa; Chordata; Mammalia; Artiodactyla; Camelidae. The record is from Rfam by way of RNAcentral.
GAGGGUAUAGCCCAGUGGUAGAGUGCAUGCUUAGCAUGCACAAGGUUCUGGGUUUAAUUCCCAGUACCUCCA